RNAcentral lists this ribosomal RNA (395 nucleotides) under Leptocylindrus sp. RNAcentral describes it as "partial small subunit ribosomal RNA". It matches the Rfam family "Eukaryotic small subunit ribosomal RNA", at positions 582 to 975 of the family's 1831-position model. Lineage: Eukaryota; Bacillariophyta; Leptocylindrophyceae; Leptocylindrales; Leptocylindraceae. The record is from RNAcentral.
AUUCCAGCUCCAAUAGCGUAUAUUAAAGUUGUUGCAGUUAAAAAGCUCGUAGUUGGAUUUCUGGUGCAUUCCACUGGCCUAUUGGUUAACUCCAACUUGGCUCAUUUGGAAUACGCCAUCUUUAGGCAGACCCGUCGUGGCAUUAGGUUGUCGUGAUGGUUACGCCUAUCGUUUACUGUGAAGAAAUUAGGGUGUUCAAAGCAGGCUUAUGCCAUGAAUACGUUAGCAUGGAAUAACGAGAUAGGAUUUCGGUACUAUUUUGUUGGUUUGUGUACGGAAAUAAUGAUUAACAGGAACAGUGUUGUGGGUAUUCGUAUUUCGUUGUCAGAGGUGAAAUUCUUGGAUUUACGAAAGACGAACGACUGCGAAAGCAUUUACCAAGGAUGUUUUCAUUA